Molecule: long non-coding RNA, 983 nt
Filed under: Carica papaya (papaya)
Lineage: Eukaryota; Viridiplantae; Streptophyta; Magnoliopsida; Brassicales; Caricaceae
Description: long non-coding RNA (CPAP_LNC003855)
Source: RNAcentral
AUCGGUGUCGAAAAUCCCUUACAGCCAAUUUUAGGGUUCUGGCAUGAUGGCGCUGUUGUGCUCCGACACCGGCUCCACUGCCCAUGGUAGUAGUUCAUCUUGGCUUAGCCGGUUUUAGUUGAUUUUGACCUUUUUCAUUCGAUUUUACAUGUAUUCCUGCAAAAAAAUACGUUAAAUGGUCUCGGUUGGCCAGAAAUCACAAGAAACUGAACCUACCGGUAGAAGGGGGGGAUUUCCAGAUGUGGCGACUUUGCUGAUUCUCCUUCGUAGUUGGGAUUUCUUCUUCAACUAACCUGCACAAAAAAGGAUGAUGAACACAAUGAUAAAAAAUUUAUGUGAAAUGGAAAACGGAAAGGGGCUCAUUGAAGGAGUUUUAGGAUUUUGGCAUCAGCGGCUCUGUCGGACUUUGUCUACGAUUUCUAGCUCACCCGCCAUCUCUUUUGUUUCGAUAUAGCCACAGAGAGACGCGGAAUCGAAUUCCGAGCGGGUAUGAGAGAAUUUUACCUUUUUUUGGCUGUUGACGGUGACUCCGGUGCGGCAGCGACCGGAUGUUGGUCUCUUUCUCUGGCUGUUGGUCCUUUUUCUCCAGUGAGGGUAGGUACGGCUAGGGUUAGUGUUCCCCUGUGACGCGAUGUUUAGAUACUCAUCCCGCAUCUAUCUAGGCCAUCUAUUUGCAUCGACGUGGAGCGAGGAAAAUCAUCCGAUUGUUGCCUAUUUAGGCCGAUCACGCGGACGAAUCUGGAUCGUUUAUCGCGAUUGAUCUCAUCCGUCCGAUCGCGCUUAAGGAGGGAAUGCAUCUGAAUGGCUCACACACAGGAGAUUGAAUUUAGGUCCUCGGAUCUUUGGGCAUGCAGAUCGCCCGCGUGGCGUUGAUGUCAGCGUGUUUUGCCACGCAGUGUGCUUUGGUUCGUCAUGGCUGCUGACUAGACUAUCUCACGUGGCCGAAUUUUUCUUUUUUGUAUUUUGACCCUUUAUUUUUAAUU